Molecule: RNA transcript, 5092 nt
Organism: Mirounga angustirostris (Northern elephant seal)
Lineage: Eukaryota; Metazoa; Chordata; Mammalia; Carnivora; Phocidae
Gene name: heat shock protein HSP 90-beta-like
Exons: 1
Source: RefSeq, a predicted model, not a curated record
ACCUCAUAAAUAAUUUGGGAGCCAUUGCCAAGUUGGGUACUAAAGCAUUUAUGGAGCCUCUUUAGGCUGAUGCAGACCUCUCUGUGAUUGGACAGUUUGGUGUUGGCUGUUAUUCUGCCUCCAUGGUGGCAGAGAAAGUGACUGUGAUCACAAAGGAUAGUGAUGAUGAGCAGUGUGCCUGGGAGUCUUCUGCUGGAGCUCCCUCACUAUAUAUGUGGACCAUGAUGAGCCCAUUGGCCGGGCUACCAAAGUGGUCCUCCACCUUAAAGAAGACCAGAGUACUUGGGAGAGGCUGGUCAAAGAAGUGGUGAAGAAGCACUCACAGUUAUCCCAUCACCCUUUAUUUGGAGAAGGAACAAGAGAAAGAAAUCAUUGAUAGUGAGGCAGAGGAAUAGAAAGGUGAGAAAGGAGAUAAAGAUAAUGAGAAACCCAAGACUGAAGAUGUGGGCUCAGGUGAGGAGGAUGAUAGCAGGAAGGACAACAAAAAGAGAACAAAGAAGAUUAAGGAGAAAUGUAUUUAUCAGGAAGAACUGAACAAGACAGGCUCAUUUGGACCAGAAACUCUGGUGACAUCACCCAGGGGGAAUAUGGAGGGUUCUACAAGAGUCCUACCAAUGACUGGGAAGACCACUUGGUAGUCAAGCACUUAUCUCUAGAAGGUGAGUUAGAGUUUAGAGCAUUGCUGUUCAUUCCCUGUUGGGCUCCUUUUGAUUUCUGAGAACAAGAAUAAAAAGAACAAUAUCAGACUCAGUCUGCUGUCUGUUCAUCAUGGACAGCUAUGAUGAAUUGAUAAGAGAGUAUCUCAACUUCAUCCAUGGUUGUGGUUGACUCUGAGUACCCGCCCCUGAACAUUGCCCAUGAAACACUACAACAGAGCAAAAUCUCCAAGGUCAUUUGCAAAAAUACUGUGAACAUGUGCCUUGAGCUCUUUGAGCUGGCAGAAGACAAGGAGAACUAUAUAAGAAAUUGUAUGAGCCAGUCUCUAAAAAUUUAAAAGCUUAGAAUCCAUGGACUAAUUGGCUACUCCUUUCUGAGCUGCUGUGUUACCACACCUCCUAGUCUAGAAAGGAGAGGACUUCUCUUUCAGAAUAUGUCUCUCACAUGAAGCAGACCCAGAAGUCCACCUGUUACAUCACUGGUGAGAGCAAAGAGCAGGUUGUCAACUCUGCUCUUGUGGAGCAAAUGCAGAAGCAGGGCUUUGAGGUAGUUUAGAUAACCGAGCCUAUUGACGUAUACUGCGUGCAGCAGCUCAAGGAGUUUGAUGUGAAGAGCCUGGUCUCCUGUUACCAAGGAGGGCGUGGAGCUGCCUGAGAAUGAAGAGGAGAAGAAGAAAGUGGAGGAGAACAAGGCCGUUUGAAAACCUCUGCAAAUUCAUGAAAGAAAUCUUAGAUAAGAAGGGGACAAUUUCUGGGGCACCUGGGUGGCUCAGUCAGUUAAGCGUACAACUCUUGAUUUCGGCUCAGGUCAUGGUCUCAGGGUCCUGAGAUCGAGCCCUGCAUAAAGUUCCACGCUCAGCAGGGAGUCUACUUGAGGAUUCUCUCUCUUAAAUAAAUAAAUCUAAAAAAAAAAAAAAAAAAAAGGUGACAGUUUCCAAUAGGCUUAGGUCUUCACCCUGCUGCAUUGUGACUAGCACCUACACUUGGACAGCUAACAUGGAGCACAUCAGAAAAGCCCAGGCACUUUGGGAUAACUCUGCAACGGGCUGUAGGAUGACCAGAAAGCACCUGGAGCUCAACCCUGACCACCCCAUUGUGGAGACACUGCAGCAGAAGGCAGAGGCCGACAAGAAUGACAAGGUCAUCAAGGACUUGGUGGUGCUCGUGUUUGAAACGACACUUCUCUCUUCCGGCUUCUCACUUGAGGAUCCCCAGACCCACUCCAGCAGUUAUCCACUUCAUGGUCAAGUAAGGGCUGGGCAUUGAUACAGAUGAAGUGACAGCACAGAAACCCAGCGCUGCUCUUCCUGAUGAGAUCCUCCCCCUUGAGGCUGAUGAGGGAUGCCUUUCUCGUGGAACAAGUAGAUUAGGAGUUUCUACCUGCAGACCUUGUGCCCUCUGUAUAGUGUCCCCAUGGCUUCCCCAGUGGCCUUGAGUGGCCCUGGCCCACCUGGUUCCCUCUGCUGAUUCCAAGUGGGUUUUUCCCCUCCUGUCUUUCUGUCUAAGGCAGGAUACAAGGGCCUUGAGCGCUAUCUUUUCCCACAUAUGACAUUGGGUUUGGAUGUGUGUUGUGGGAUUUUUGUUUAUUUUGUUAGGAAAUCAAAGAUGUGAAAUAAAGAAAAUGCAGUUUUAUACAAAAAAGAAGAAGAAGAAGGGUUUUGGAAGAUUCCUAAUAACAUUGACGUUAGUAAAUCACAUACAUUUAUGAAUAACUUACUAUGUGCCAGGCUAUGUUCAAGGGACUAGAGAUACAAUUGAGAAUAUUAUGAUCAAGAUGGAAUGAAAUGAAAUGAUGAAGGCUUCCAAGAUUCAGGAAGUAGGGUGAAUAUGUCUUAAAUUGUAAUAAGCAUUAUUUUCUUUGUCUUUAAAAAAAAAAGACCAAGAACCUUACUGUUCAGAAGUGUUAAGUCUGCUAAAAGAGUCAGAAAAUCAGAAAACAAUGUAAGUGCCACAGUUUUUAAAUCCAAAUUCUGUUAAGAAGCUGAGUUUUGGAGAUUUAAGCAGCUUUCCCGAGCUCGUGUAACUGGCUAAUGGCAGAGCCAGGCCCAAAGCCCACUGCAUACUUACUAAUUUACUUGUUAACUUUUAGAAGUAAUAUGUGUGACCUCAAUUGUCUUCUUUUUCUUCACUUCUCAGAUAAAUCAGUUAAUAGUUUAAGCAAUUUUUCUAAGUAAUUACCACAUUUUAAUUUUAUCUUCUAUAUAAUUUUUAUCUUCUGUUGGAAUUUUAUCUCGUUUCUUGUUUUAUCAACUUUAGACAUUAUCUGAGGUCUUCUUACUGAAAAAUGAGGAACUUGGUUUGCUCAUACUAUCUCCCACAUCACCUUCAUCUCUUCACAUUCUGGUUUUUGUAAUGUAAAUUUUAUAGACUUUUAGUGAUUUCUCUGUAAAUUUCAGCUGACUCCUCAUUACUUCCUUUCCUUCCCUCUUUCUUCCCAUACUCUCAAUUUUCAUUAAUUAUGACCCUUGACAAUAAAAUGCAAAUGUUAAUUCUUCGGUAUAUAUACUUCAAUGCUUUGCUACUGGUUGACUUGGAAAAUUAAAAUCCAGUAGACAGCAUUUACAAUAUUAUGACUAUGUAAGUAUUCAAAAUAGAACCAAAUACAGUGGUGAAUAGAGUCACAUAAAAGCAAAUAGAAAACUGAAUUACUUAAAACUUUCCCAAGGGAGUCUUCCAACUAUCUCUGCUUAAUGGAAUCUUUUUUUGUUUUGUCCUAGUUUUCUUCCCAUUUUCUAAGUCCUCUCAACUGCUGCUGUUUCUUGUAUUCUACGUGUUUUGCUUUCUUGAAUUACUUUUGCUGGAGUACUUUCUUAAGUAAUUUUUUUCAUAAAGGACGCUUGGGUGGUAAACUUAUCAAGUUAAUACUGUUGAAAAUCUCUGUUGUACUCUUGUAUUUAAUUGGUAAUUUGAGAAUGCAGAAUAGACACAAAAUCAAUAUACAUACUACAGAUUAUCCAUAUGCUCUCAUUCAUUUCUCCGCACACAUUUUACACUUUCUUCCUGUUCUAGAUAGCUUCUUCCAUGUCGAUGUUUGAAAUCAUUGCAACAGUUCCUGGUUGCUGUUUCAAGGUCUUUAAAUGCUGUUUGGUAAAGUUGUGAAAGUUUUUCUUUCCCAGUGUCCCAGAGCAAAUUAUCACACGUUAAUUCUGAGUUUUAAGGAGGCCACAUUAUGUCAGCUUUAUGCCCAAUCCAUCAACCACUGAAUUUGUCUGGAAGAUACUCUUACUGGAAAAGCGUAAGGUACUGGGCUCCCUCGUUGUUGCAGGAUAGUUGUUGCCUUGAAACUGUAGGCAUCAGGCCACAUCUGAAACAUGUUCAAGUCAGCACCCAUCAUGACAGUCACUUUUAGAACAUUUUCAUUACACCAAAAAGAAACCUCGGACUCAUUAGUAGUCACUCCCACUGCCUCCCAAGGACCGCCACCACCACCCUGAGCCAUAAACACCCAAAAUGUGGUCUCUCAUGACUGAUGUCUUUCACUUUGCAUAAUGUGUUCAAGGUUCAUCCAUGCUGUAGCAUGUAGCAGUGUUGGUAGAUGCUUAAUCUCUUGAAAGUCCUCGUUAUUCAGCAUCUUUUAAAAAAUACUUUUCCAAUAUCAAGUACUUCUAGGUGGUUUUUGCUUUAUAAUCUAGUCAGUUUCCCUGUUAAUAAUGUCAGCACUUCAGUUGUUAACUGAUAGAUUCAGAGAUUUGUUGCUGUAUGAGUUAACGACAUCUACCCAUUCUGUAGUAAAAACUUCUCACUUUGCUUUUCUGCAUCUAGGAGAUAGACCUAAUCCAAAUAGACCUACUUUCAAAAGAUGUUAGACAUAACUAUUACAGUCCAGGGAGUUUUAUGCUGUUUACAUUGAUUCUUUUUUUGUAGUAUUUUCUUGGAUAUGAUAGAAACAAUUUGAGGAGCUUUUAUAUAUUUCUGAAGAGAUUUGUAUCUGUGUUAAAGUGUUUCAUGUAUAUUCUUUGUUCUACUCAUAGCCUUUUGAAAUAUCUUUUUCCAAUGUGUUAAGUCAAAACUUACCCCAAAUCAUUUGAUCACUUGUUCAGAGAGCUAAGAUCUUAAAGGAAUUGAUCGCCUAACACAUCGAACAUCCAGAAUCAGUGCUCUUGGUUUGACCACACUAACUCCAUUUAAACCUGAGCAAUUUUUCUUGAUACUUAGUUGUUAUCUUUCUAAGUAUUUUAAGUUGGGACAUGUGGAAAAGUUUUCUUUGGCCAUUUAUUGGAAGCUGAAUCACAUAUCAGUAACACUGAGUAAAAGCAUUCUUCAUUCUUGAAAUGUCUAUAGUUUUUUGUUUUGUUUUACCAAAUACCUGUAGAUUAAAUUGUUAUUUGAAGACGUACUCAGAGAGGUUCUUAACUAUUCAAAUUGUUAAUGUGCAUUGAUUUUCUUUUGCAGAAGCUGAGUAUCUAUGGUGACUUGGAAUUUGUGAAUGAACAAAA